Molecule: ribosomal RNA, 496 nt
Filed under: uncultured bacterium
Lineage: Bacteria
Description: partial 16S ribosomal RNA
Rfam family: Bacterial small subunit ribosomal RNA
Source: RNAcentral
GAUGAACGCUGGCGGCGUGCCUAAUACAUGCAUGUCGAGCGAACGGACGAGAAGCUUGCUUUUCUGAUGUUAGCGGCGGACGGGUGAGUAACACGUGGAUAACCUACCUAUAAGACUGGGAUAACUUCGGGAAACCGGAGCUAAUACCGGAUAAUAUUUUGAACCGCAUGGUUCAAAAGUGAAAGACGGUCUUGCUGUCACUUAUAGAUGGAUCCGCGCUGCAUUAGCUAGUUGGUAAGGUAACGGCUUACCAAGGCAACGAUGCAUAGCCGACCUGAGAGGGUGAUCGGCCACACUGGAACUGAGACACGGUCCAGACUCCUACGGGAGGCAGCAGUAGGGAAUCUUCCGCAAUGGGCGAAAGCCUGACGGAGCAACGCCGCGUGAGUGAUGAAGGUCUUCGGAUCGUAAAACUCUGUUAUUAGGGAAGAACAUAUGUGUAAGUAACUGUGCACAUCUUGACGGUACCUAAUCAGAAAGCCACGGCUAACUACGU